UUAUCAUUGAGCAGGUGACUGCUUGCAAGCUAUGGCGGCAAGUUGGAGAAUCUUUUAAUCCUCCAAAGUUUGGGAUGAACUUGUGGAUUGAUUUUGGCUCAUGCUGAAGAACUCCUCUAUUUUGAUAUCAUCCAUCUCUAGUAUUUUGUUGACCAUGGAAUUGAAGUCCAUCUUUUGGUUUUAGCAUAUGUUAGGUAUAUGGCAGUUAUCUAGGGAGAAAUAGCAAUAUUUAUAUUGGUUUCAAAUAGUGGAAUGGGAUGAUAUGUAAAUGUUUGACAUGGUUAACUUUUGUGGUUUGACAUAUUAUGGUUGCCUACUAAUGAUAAUUUGUGAAGUUUUGGUUGA
Coffea arabica (coffee) is the source of this 345-nucleotide long non-coding RNA. RefSeq lists it as uncharacterized. The record is from RefSeq and is a predicted model, not a curated record. NCBI's taxonomy places the organism in Eukaryota, Viridiplantae, Streptophyta, Magnoliopsida, Gentianales, Rubiaceae.